Molecule: long non-coding RNA, 856 nt
Organism: Drosophila montana
Lineage: Eukaryota; Metazoa; Arthropoda; Insecta; Diptera; Drosophilidae
Exons: 3
Source: RefSeq, a predicted model, not a curated record
AUCAUUCAAAUAUGUUAUUCUUUUGUAAAAACUUGUGUCUUUAUCCAGAUAUCUAGAUUAGGAGCUUUACUAUGAUAUUUAUAUCAUCUAACUCUAUAGAAAGAUUCGUUUGAGAAAAAGAAUUUUGGUAGGGAAAGCUUUAAAUAAAUAAACAAGAAAAUAUUGGCACACGUCUAUUAAUACCGAUAAAUAUAUUUUAUUAUUUUUAUUUAUUUAUAUAAACUAAUCAAAUAGUUAAAACCAGAUCCUGCAGCUGGACAAUAAUAGGAACUUAAAUGCCUUAAGCAAAAACAAUAACACAAAACAUGGCUCAUUAAAUAAAGGCCCCAAAAUGAGAACAAGCCGCUUGCCAGUUAACAACAAAGAAAACAAAAACAAUCAGUAAAAACAACAACAACUUGGAGACUUGGAGAAUUUGUGCGGCGAAACACACCUUUAAAGCCCCACAGAUGAGAAAGGAGAGUUCAAUGCACGCAAAUCGGAUUAAGCAAAGAAAUUAAGUAAUACGCCGUGCAGAUAGGCAGAUAGACAGACAGACAAACAGACAGAUAGAUAGAUAGGUAGAUAGAUAGAUGGAUAGAUGGAGGGAUGUGCGGGGAAAAUGCUGGCAACCUGUCAUUGGAGAAAUGGAAACGGAAAACCAAAUCAAACGCAACAAAACUGAGAGCCAAACCAAGCAAUGGGCGUUAGAAUGUCAGGAAGUGCAGACACACAGGAAGCAAAUGUGAGAACAUGAUAUUAAAUGGAGGCGUUACGAGUUUAAGACUGGAACAGGGACGGGGGCAGAGCUUGCCCAACCGAUUGCGACAAAAAUACAACCGAACGCAUCGAAGCUUAAAACUCAACUGACCGAAGC